Amphibalanus amphitrite is the source of this 800-nucleotide long non-coding RNA. RefSeq lists it as uncharacterized. NCBI's taxonomy places the organism in Eukaryota, Metazoa, Arthropoda, Thecostraca, Balanomorpha, Balanidae. The transcript is spliced from 3 exons. The record is from RefSeq and is a predicted model, not a curated record.
AGAUCUUGGAAACUGGACCCCAGAUCAGUAGAUGCAGACAUGCACAUGCAGACGAAACACCAGCGCCAUGCAUGGGGCCCAAUCUCACCAUGGAAAUGCCAAAGCACACAGCUCAAGCCAUGCUGCCAUCCACAUGACGUGCGGCCAGGCUCGUUGCUGUCGGCGGUUCUGAAGACAGCGGUUCGAUCCAGCUGAAGGACGUCACCUGGCAGGAAGUUGCAGAGUGAGGUGGCCAGUAUCAAGCCACAUUGUCCAGAAACCAUCACAUUAUCUCCAGGUCACUAGUCGCCGGUGCUCGAGCUGACGGCGUCGUUCAAGGGCUCCACGGUGACAAGCGCCGUCACCGCUGCCGCCGCCGCCGAGACCAUCUUACUCCUGGGCCCUGUUUCACGGCAGCGUACUGCAGCGCGCUACGCAGCGCUGCUGUGUUAGUGCGGCGAUUGAGACGAAUUCGGCUCGACGCUCCAGCGUUGCGAAACACCCGUGUCUAUGAAGGAUACGCCGAUACGUCCCCCAGCUUCAAGCCCUUCCCGCCCCCCCCCCCCCCCCGCCCCGUCUCAACGGUGUUGGCCGAGAUUGGGGUUUGGUAUUUUAACGGGCUCUCCGGUGACGUCCCGCAAUUUGUGUUAUGUAAAUUGACGAUUAUGUCGUCUCAUUCUGUCUCGAUAUGCUAAUAAAUGAUAAAUGGGACCGGGGACGGAGGUUGGAAGUAAGGUGUGAGUGGCUGUAACCGGCAGGUUUUGGCGAGCGCGAUAUUAGUUAUCGUGAGCGCGCCAGCUGCAAUCAAUCGCGCGCUUGCG